Molecule: ribosomal RNA, 468 nt
Filed under: uncultured bacterium
Lineage: Bacteria
Description: partial 16S ribosomal RNA
Rfam family: Bacterial small subunit ribosomal RNA
Source: RNAcentral
GACGAACGCUGGCGGCGUGCUUAACACAUGCAAGUCGAACGGAAAGGCCCUGCUUUUGUGGGGUGCUCGAGUGGCGAACGGGUGAGUAACACGUGAGUAACCUGCCCUUGACUUUGGGAUAACUUCAGGAAACUGGGGCUAAUACCGGCUAGGAGCUCCUGCUGCAUGGUGGGGGUUGGAUAGUUUCGGCGGUUGGGGAUGGACUCGCGGCUUAUCGGCUUGUUGGUGGGGUAGUGGCUUACCAAGGCUUUGACGGGUAGCCGGGCUGAGAGGGUGACCGGCCACAUUGGGACGGAGAUACGGCCCAGACCCCUACCGGAGGGAAGGGUGGGGAAUAUUGCACAAUGGGCGGAAGCCUGAUGCAGCAACGCCGCGUGCGGGAUGACGGCCUUCGGGUUGUAAACCGCUUUCGCCUGUGACGAAGCGUGAGUGACGGUAAUGGGUAAAGAAGCACCGGCUAACUACGUG